AUUUUGAGGGGUGACGCUGUACGCUGUAUGUGUUGUUUUCAUAGAUUCUUUGGAAAGACAAAUUCUUUUAAUAAUCAUAAGCGUAUAGCUUUUCCCCUUAAAUA
Glossina morsitans morsitans is the source of this 104-nucleotide non-coding RNA. Lineage: Eukaryota; Metazoa; Arthropoda; Insecta; Diptera; Glossinidae. The record is from Rfam.